RNAcentral lists this transfer RNA (87 nucleotides) under Escherichia coli. RNAcentral's name for it is "tRNA-Leu". It matches the Rfam family "tRNA". Rfam says of the family: Transfer RNA (tRNA) molecules are approximately 80 nucleotides in length. Their secondary structure includes four short double-helical elements and three loops (D, anti-codon, and T loops). RNAcentral also lists the same sequence under 7 other names. The record is from RNAcentral. Lineage: Bacteria; Pseudomonadati; Pseudomonadota; Gammaproteobacteria; Enterobacterales; Enterobacteriaceae.
GCGAAGGUGGCGGAAUUGGUAGACGCGCCAGCUUCAGGUGUUAGUGUCCUUACGGACGUGGGGGUUCAAGUCCCCCCCCUCGCACCA